GCCAGGACUGGAGCAAGUGAGCUGCUGUGUGAGGAACCGAGGGCCUUCUGCUGGAUGGUUUGGGAGGGCGCUGAGUCUGGCUUGCCACCCUCUCUAGCUUAGCUGCGUAAACGGGCACUGGUUGCCCACCCCCGUGGUGGCGACUAGGCCGAGGUGCUAGGUGUGCUUGGAGAAGGGAGGAAAGGGGUUAAUGGCCCCUAGGCUAGGGGUGCGGCUCCGCGGGGCCAGGAAGCCACCACCAGCGGCCAGCUUUCUGCAGACACAGCGAUCUUCCUCCUGGUUCGGUGGCUAAACAGGCCCUGGGGCCUCCGGCCUGGGGAAUCUGGUCUGGGGACAAGAAUUAUCCAGCCUAUGAGGCGGGAAUCCAAGGGAGACAGAUGAAGAUGCAGUGAAGUGGAAGUUGAAAGCCCUGGGAUUUGGUCUGCGCUCUGAUGCUGCAGAGGCCAUAGCGUCCCUUGCCUGGGCCCUGGGUUGCUCGCCUGCAAAACAAGAGACUGGUGGUUUGU
Apodemus sylvaticus (European woodmouse) is the source of this 506-nucleotide long non-coding RNA. RefSeq lists it as uncharacterized. The transcript has 2 exons. The record is from RefSeq and is a predicted model, not a curated record. Lineage: Eukaryota; Metazoa; Chordata; Mammalia; Rodentia; Muridae.